RNAcentral lists this long non-coding RNA (351 nucleotides) under Delphinapterus leucas (beluga whale). Its description in RNAcentral is "lncRNA (ENSDLEG00000011221.1)". The record is from RNAcentral. Lineage: Eukaryota; Metazoa; Chordata; Mammalia; Artiodactyla; Monodontidae.
AAUCAUUACAGUCUAAUUUUUCUUUCUCGUAUUUAGAUGUCAAAUGAUCCAAAAGUCUCUGGAGUCCUCUGUGUGAUCUUCGAGGACUCGUCAACCUGAAAACAGAACAGGAUGCAGGUGUUUCAACUGUGGAUGCCAUAGUGAUGCUGUGCUCUUCCUCUCCCCUGCCUUGCCCCCAUGAGGAAGAGUCAAGGCUGGAUGGAGCGAGUGUAGGGAAGGAUUUUCUCAUAAUCUGAAAGCCCAUGAAGAUCUCUAGACUACCAGAUAAGAGGCCCUCAAGAUGCUGAAUUCUGGGGGAGAACUUCUCCAGGAGACAAGAAGCAAAGGCAAGUGAGCUGGAGGGGGAAAAGA